RNAcentral lists this ribosomal RNA (308 nucleotides) under uncultured bacterium. RNAcentral's name for it is "partial 16S ribosomal RNA". It matches the Rfam family "Bacterial small subunit ribosomal RNA", at positions 505 to 807 of the family's 1533-position model. The record is from RNAcentral.
GAGACAGCAGUAGCCGCGGUAAUACAGAGGGUGCGAGCGUUAAUCGGAUUUACUGGGCGUAAAGCGUGCGUAGGCGGCUAAUUGAGUCGGAUGUGAAAUCCCCGAGCUUAACUUGGGAAUUGCAUUCGAUACUGGGAAGCUAGAGUAUGGGAGAGGAUGGUAGAAUUCCAGGUGUAGCGGUGAAAUGCGUAGAGAUCUGGAGGAAUACCGAUGGCGAAGGCAGCCAUCUGGCCUAAUACUGACGCUGAGGUACGAAAGCAUGGGGAGCAAACAGGAUUAGAUACCCGGGUAGUCCCUGUCUCUUAUAC